GUGUCAGCCGCCGCGGUAAUACGGAGGGUGCGAGCGUUAAUCGGAAUUACUGGGCGUAAAGCGCAUGCAGGUGGCUUGUUAAGCCAGAUGUGAAAGCCCGGGGCUUAACCUCGGAAUAGCAUUUGGAACUGGCGAGCUAGAGUACUGUAGAGGGGGGUAGAAUUUCAGGUGUAGCGGUGAAAUGCGUAGAGAUCUGAAGGAAUACCGGUGGCGAAGGCGGCCCCCUGGACAGAUACUGACACUCAGAUGCGAAAGCGUGGGGAGCAUACAGGAUUAGA
RNAcentral lists this ribosomal RNA (278 nucleotides) under uncultured prokaryote. Its description in RNAcentral is "partial 16S ribosomal RNA". It matches the Rfam family "Bacterial small subunit ribosomal RNA", at positions 505 to 782 of the family's 1533-position model. The record is from RNAcentral.